UUCUUUCAUUUCUUCUUUCUCAGCAUCAGACUCUUUCUUUUUUGCCCAGAAAUGAUCUAAUGCCUCCACACAUGCAUCUCCUCCCCCUCGACGCAAUGAUUCUUUAGCCCUCUAACUACCAAUUGGUCUUUUGGGGACAUCAGUGUUUAUAUUUCCAUUCUCAUUGUUUUCACGCAUGGUACUAUCACCCAUAAUGGCACCA
This 202-nucleotide long non-coding RNA is filed under the name Oryza brachyantha (malo sina). RNAcentral's name for it is "long non-coding RNA (OBRA_LNC001375)". Lineage: Eukaryota; Viridiplantae; Streptophyta; Magnoliopsida; Poales; Poaceae. The record is from RNAcentral.